GAUGAAGAACGUAGCGAAAUGCGAUAAGUAAUGUGAAUUGCAGAAUUCAGUGAAUCAUCGAAUCUUUGAACGCACAUUGCGCCCGCCAGUAUUCUGGCGGGCAUGCCUGUUCGAGCGUCAUUACAACCCUCAGGCCCCCGGGCCUGGCGUUGGGGAUCGGCGGAGCCCCCCGUGGGCACACGCCGUCCCCCAAAUGCAGUGGCGGCCCCGCCGCAGCUUCCAUCGCGUAGUAGCUAACACCUCGCGACUGGAGAGCGGCGCGGCCACGCCGUAAAACACCCAACUCUUCUGAAGUUGACCUCGAAUCAGGUAGGAAUACCCGCUGAACUUAAGCAUAUCAAUAAGCGGAGGA
Molecule: unclassified non-coding RNA, 352 nt
Filed under: soil metagenome
Description: partial contains 5.8S ribosomal RNA, internal transcribed spacer 2, and large subunit ribosomal RNA
Rfam family: 5.8S ribosomal RNA (bases 1-120)
Source: RNAcentral